CAUCAUUCUAAAUACCAGGAACACUGAAAUUACCAGUACAAAUUGCUUCCAGCUGAAAUUGCAGCCUACCCAGCCCUUUCAUUUCUGAGUCAUGACUACCCUAACAAGUGAAAAUCUUUGGCCGCUACUGCUAUAGACUGAUGUCAGUUAGACUCUGCCUGACACCACUUUAAGACCAUAGAGAGAGGAUUCAUUUCACUGAAUGCAGGACUUGGACAUUUGCGCUUGAGGACUGACUCCAGACUCCCAUUCUAAUGAAGGAAGAACACAGAACAAUUUGUGUACUGUGUUUAAGUACAUAUUUUUUUAAUUUGAGUGAAGAGAUGGAAAAACCCCGAGAUCAAUUCAAACUCAUUUUUCAAAAGCACUCACUUCCCAAGCAGAAACAAAUUACCAC
Lepidothrix coronata (blue-crowned manakin) is the source of this 397-nucleotide long non-coding RNA. RefSeq lists it as uncharacterized. NCBI's taxonomy places the organism in Eukaryota, Metazoa, Chordata, Aves, Passeriformes, Pipridae. The transcript has 3 exons. The record is from RefSeq and is a predicted model, not a curated record.